Molecule: non-coding RNA, 83 nt
Organism: Sander lucioperca (pikeperch)
Lineage: Eukaryota; Metazoa; Chordata; Actinopteri; Perciformes; Percidae
Source: the annotation of a RefSeq genome assembly
GUCAGGAUAGCCGAGUGGUCGAAGGUGCUGUGUUAAAGUAGCAGUCUCCUCUGGAGGCGUGGGUUCAAAUCCCACUUCUGACA